Molecule: long non-coding RNA, 627 nt
Filed under: Cercocebus atys (sooty mangabey)
Lineage: Eukaryota; Metazoa; Chordata; Mammalia; Primates; Cercopithecidae
Description: lncRNA (ENSCATG00000045395.1)
Source: RNAcentral
AGGGAAGCUGUCUGGAGGCAGUGUGGCACCUGAAGAUGCUGGAGCUGCUGCUGUCAGGGAUGCACGCCCUGCCCAUUCAUCUGCCUUCUGCGCCGGGAGCCCCCGCAGAUGCGGAAGAUGCAGGGAAUGAUUCAGCCCCAGCCUUAAGACCUAUUAUGGGCACAAAGCCCUGACAAACUCCAGACAGCCCUGUUUUGGAUGCAGACAACAAUCACACAUGACAACUCAAGAGGAGUGAGGCAUGGAGCUAGUGAAGGCUGAGCAUGCUGUUCCGACUCUACGUCAGCAGCCUCAAGCCUCCGGGGCACAGCCCAUGUGUGCCUGCAACCCCGCUGGAUGCUGCCAGCUUCCACCAAGGUCCUACUGAUCCCUACCGGCCUGUUCCGCACCCAAGCCUGCCAUCUUGGUUUGGCCUUAUCACAAUUUUCACAGCACACCUGUCUUGCUCAGCAUUUUGAAUUCCAACAAAGACCUGAGGGGUCAGAGCCAAGUUGCAACAAAGGAAGACAGCACGGACAGAUACAAGAAGAGCUUAGGUGUCCCGUACAAGCCACAAGCCUCACUGUCACGUGAAGUAUUUAAAGCUGUAAAUAUCACCACAGGAAAAUCUCUGGUCUUUGCAGGAAC